GGGGAUUUAGCUCAGUGGUAGAGCGCUUGCCUAGGAAGCACAAAACCCUGGGUUCAGUCCCCAGCUCCG
Non-coding RNA from Rattus norvegicus (Norway rat), 69 nucleotides. The record is from Rfam. NCBI's taxonomy places the organism in Eukaryota, Metazoa, Chordata, Mammalia, Rodentia, Muridae.